AUUGAACGCUGGCGGCAUGCUUUAUACAUGCAAGUCGUGCGGCAGCGCGGGGGCAACUCUGGCGGCGAGCGGCGAACGGGUGAGUAAUACAUAGGAACGUAUCCUGAAAUGGGGGAUAGCUCGGCGAAAGCCGGAUUAAUACCGCAUACGCUCCACGGAGGAAAGCAGGGGAUCGCAAGACCUUGCGUUUCUGGAGCGGCCUAUGUCUGAUUAGCUAGNGGCGGGGUAAUAGCCCACCAAGGCGACGAUCAGUAGCUGGUCUGAGAGGAUGAUCAGCCACACUGGGACUGAGACACGGCCCAGACUCCUACGGGAGGCAGCAGUAGGGAAUUUUGGACAA
RNAcentral lists this ribosomal RNA (340 nucleotides) under uncultured bacterium. RNAcentral's name for it is "bacterial SSU rRNA". It matches the Rfam family "Bacterial small subunit ribosomal RNA", at positions 30 to 371 of the family's 1533-position model. The record is from RNAcentral.